This 600-nucleotide ribosomal RNA is filed under the name bacterium L2(2012). RNAcentral describes it as "bacterial SSU rRNA". It matches the Rfam family "Bacterial small subunit ribosomal RNA", at positions 82 to 678 of the family's 1533-position model. The record is from RNAcentral.
GCUCCGCUGACGAGUGGCGAACGGGUGAGUAAUAUAUCGGAACGUACCCAAGAGUGGGGGAUAACGUAGCGAAAGUUACGCUAAUACCGCAUACGAUCUAUGGAUGAAAGUGGGGGAUCUUCGGACCUUGUGCUCCUGGAGCGGCCGAUAUCUGAUUAGCUAGUUGGUGAGGUAAAGGCUCACCAAGGCGACGAUCAGUAGCUGGUCUGAGAGGACGACCAGCCACACUGGAACUGAGACACGGUCCAGACUCCUACGGGAGGCAGCAGUGGGGAAUUUUGGACAAUGGGCGCAAGCCUGAUCCAGCAAUGCCGCGUGAGUGAAGAAGGCCUUCGGGUUGUAAAGCUCUUUUGUCAGGGAAGAAACGGUAGAGGCUAAUAUCCUUUGCUAAUGACGGUACCUGAAGAAUAAGCACCGGCUAACUACGUGCCAGCAGCCGCGGUAAUACGUAGGGUGCAAGCGUUAAUCGGAAUUACUGGGCGUAAAGCGUGCGCAGGCGGUUUUGUAAGUCUGUCGUGAAAUCCCCGGGCUCAACCUGGGAAUUGCGAUGGAGACUGCAAGGCUAGAAUCUGGCAGAGGGGGGUAGAAUUCCACGUGUAG